AUUAACGCGGGCGGCAUGCGUAACACAUGCAAGUCGUACGAGAAAGCCCCUUUCGGGGGGCGAGUAAAGUGGCGCACGGGUGAGUAACGCGUGGGUAAUCUACCCCGGUCUGGGGGAUAACGCACCGAAGGGUACGCUAAUACCGCAUGACCCGGCAGGUUUUCGGAACUGUCGGAAAAGGUGGCCUCUACAUGUAAGCUACCGAACCGGGAUGAGCCCGCGUCCUAUUAGCUUGUUGGUGGGGUAGAGGCCUACCAAGGCGACGAUGGGUAGCUGGUCUGAGAGGACGGCCAGCCACACUGGAACUGGUACACGGUCCAGACUCCUACGGGAGGCAGCAGUGAGGAAUAUUGCGCAAUGGGGGAAACCCUGACGCAGCGAUGCCGCGUGGGUAAAGAAGGCCUUCGGGUCGUAAAGCCCUGUCAAACGGGAAGAAUAGCUCCGGGGCUAAUAUCCUCGGGGUGUGACGGUACCGUUGAAGGAAGCACCGGCUAACUCCGUGCCAGCAGCCGCGGUAAGACGGAGGGUGCGAGCGUUAUUAGGAUUUAUUGGGCGUAAAGGGUGUGCAGGCGGUCAUCCAAGUGUGAUGUGAAAGCCCGGGGAUUAACCUCGGAAGGGCGUUGGAAACUGGUUGACUUGAGUUCGGGAGAGGAAAGCGGAAUUCCGGGUGUAGAGGUGAAAUUCGUAGAUAUCCGGAGGAACACCGGUGGCGAAGGCGGCUUUCUGGACCGAAACUGACGCUGAGACACGAAAGCGUGGGGAGCAAACAGGAUUAGAUACCCUGGUAGUCCACGCCGUAAACGAUGGGCACUAGGUGUGGGGGGUUUUUAAUCCCUCCGUGCCGCAGCUAACGCAUUAAGUGCCCCGCCUGGGGA
RNAcentral lists this ribosomal RNA (875 nucleotides) under uncultured bacterium. RNAcentral describes it as "bacterial SSU rRNA". It matches the Rfam family "Bacterial small subunit ribosomal RNA", at positions 29 to 879 of the family's 1533-position model. The record is from RNAcentral.